RNAcentral lists this small RNA (2656 nucleotides) under Pan troglodytes (chimpanzee). Its description in RNAcentral is "processed transcript". Lineage: Eukaryota; Metazoa; Chordata; Mammalia; Primates; Hominidae. The record is from RNAcentral.
AGGGAUCUUCUCCCUUCCUUCCUCUGCAUGCUCCUGAUACAUACUGUGAGUCUUUUGUUUUCUGUCUUUUUGCAGAGCAUUGGCUGUGAUGACUACUUAGGCUCCGACAAAGUCGUGGACAAAUGUGGGGUGUGUGGAGGAGACAACACGGGCUGUCAGGUUGUGUCGGGAGUGUUUAAGCAUGCCCUCACCAGCCUGGGCUACCACCGCGUCGUGGAGAUUCCCGAGGGAGCCACGAAAAUCAACAUCACGGAGAUGUACAAGAGCAACAACUAUUUGGCCUUGCGAAGUCGUUCUGGACGCUCCAUCAUCAAUGGGAACUGGGCAAUUGAUCGACCAGGAAAAUACGAGGGCGGAGGGACCAUGUUCACCUACAAGCGUCCAAAUGAGAUUUCAAGCACUGCCGGAGAGUCCUUUUUGGCGGAAGGUCCCACCAACGAGAUCUUGGAUGUCUACAUGAUACACCAGCAGCCAAACCCAGGCGUGCACUACGAGUACGUGAUCAUGGGGACCAACGCCAUCAGCCCCCAGGUGCCACCCCACAGGAGACCAGGGGAACCCUUCAAUGGCCAGAUGGUGACAGAAGGCAGGAGCCAGGAGGAGGGAGAAGAGAAAGGGAGGAACGAGGAGAAGGAAGACUUGCGUGGGGAGGCCCCUGAGAUGUUCACCUCAGAAUCGGCACAGACCUUCCCAGUCAGGCAUCCAGACAGAUUUUCUCCCCGUCGACCGGACAACUUGGUGCCACCAGCACCGCAGCCCCCGCGGCGCAGCCGGGAUCACAACUGGAAGCAGCUUGGGACGACAGAAUGUUCCACGACCUGUGGGAAAGGAUCGCAGUACCCUAUUUUCCGCUGUGUGCACAGAAGCACUCAUGAAGAGGCUCCUGAGAGUUACUGUGACUCCAGCAUGAAGCCGACCCCCGAGGAGGAGCCCUGCAACAUCUUCCCUUGCCCAGCCUUCUGGGACAUCGGGGAGUGGUCUGAGUGCAGCAAGACCUGUGGCCUGGGCAUGCAGCACCGCCAGGUUCUGUGCCGCCAGGUGUAUGCCAACCGCAGCCUGACGGUGCAGCCCUACCGCUGCCAGCACCUGGAGAAACCUGAGACCACCAGCACCUGCCAACUCAAGAUCUGCAGCGAGUGGCAGAUCCGGACCGACUGGACCUCGUGCUCGGUGCCCUGCGGCGUGGGACAGAGGACCCGUGAUGUGAAGUGUGUGAGCAACAUUGGGGAUGUGGUUGACGAUGAGGAAUGCAACAUGAAGCUCCGGCCGAAUGACAUUGAGAACUGCGACAUGGGACCCUGUGCCAAGAGCUGGUUCCUCACCGAGUGGAGCGAAAGGUGCUCAGCGGAGUGUGGGGCCGGAGUGCGGACACGCUCGGUGGUGUGCAUGACCAACCAUGUCAGCAGCCUGCCCCUGGAGGGCUGUGGGAACAACCGGCCGGCAGAGGCCACCCCAUGUGACAACGGACCCUGCACGGGCAAGGUGGAGUGGUUUGCCGGGAGCUGGAGUCAGUGUUCCAUCGAGUGUGGGAGCGGGACGCAACAGAGGGAGGUGAUUUGUGUUAGAAAGAAUGCGGACACCUUUGAAGUGUUGGACCCCUCUGAAUGUUCUUUCCUGGAAAAACCCCCCAGCCAGCAAUCCUGCCACCUCAAGCCUUGCGGAGCCAAAUGGUUUAGCACCGAAUGGAGCAUGAGUCUACAAAGAGCCAUGCUCACCAGGCCAAGUUGAAGGAGACAAACUUCAAAAACACCUGCUGGAAGCAACCCAAAUGUCCGUCAGCAGGUGAACGGACAAACCAUGGUGCAUCCACACAGUGGAACAAAAAACUCAGCCACAAAAAUAUGGAUGAACUUCCAGUGCGUUUUGCUAAGUAAAAAAAAAGCCAGGUUCAAAAAACUAUGUGUUGUAUGAGUCCAUCUAUAUAAUAUUCUGUAAAAGGAGCAGCUACAAACGCCAAAUCAGUGCCUGCUGGAGGAUGGGGUGACCACAUCUGUGCAAUCUGACCGUAGAGGGGCAGCAUGGGAAUUUUUUGUCUGCAAUGAAAAUAUUUCGUGUCUUCUUUGCGGUAGGAGAUACACAACUGUAUAAAUUUGUCAAAACUGAUAGAUCUGUAUACCACAAAAAGGGAAAUUUUUAGAUGCAAAUUUAGAAAAUAUGAAGUAAAUGGUUACUAUAAUAGCAAAGACUGAUGGAAGCUAGACUUCUUUGAAUGUACCUUGUUUUACAAAUUUGAGUUUGGAACUAAGUAAAUAUUUUAGAUAAUCAUAAAAGAAAAUUAAGUUUUAAAAAAGCAAUCCCCAGAACUGAAAAUACAAUGAAACAAAUUAAUCUAAAUAUGUUUCUAGUUGGUGGCAUCAGCACUAUUGCAGGUGACUUUAAUACAUAGUAAUUUGACAUUCUAUCCCUAAAAAAAAUUACUGCAGAAGAAUGUUCACACUGUUUGCAAUUAUCCUAUUUUUGGUGAUAGUGUUGUGCUGGAUAUGAUGAUUGGGCAUAUAAUGUGUGAGAAGGUAAAUGAGUAAUUAGAUGAUAGUAUAAUUCUAUUAGCCCCAAUAUCCUUGAGAAGUAGGAUGUUCAAACUUAGGAGAAAGUAGAUACAGAUACAAGAUAGAUAUUGUAUGGCUUAAGUCCGCAAUAAAAAGCCUGUUGUCCUGAA